UACGGAGGGUGCAAGCGUUGUUCGGAAUCAUUGGGCGUAAAGCGCGUGUAGGCGGCUUGGCAAGUCGGUUGUGAAAGCCCGGGGCCCAACCCCGGAACUGCAUCUGAAACUGCCUGGCUAGAGUCCCGGAGAGGAAGGCAGAAUUCCCGGUGUAGGGGUGAAAUCCGUAGAUAUCGGGAGGAACAUCUGUGGCGAAGGCGGCCAUCUGGACGGAUACUGACGCUGAGACGCGAAAGCGUGGGUAGCAAACAGG
Molecule: ribosomal RNA, 253 nt
Filed under: uncultured bacterium
Lineage: Bacteria
Description: partial 16S ribosomal RNA
Rfam family: Bacterial small subunit ribosomal RNA
Source: RNAcentral